RNAcentral lists this long non-coding RNA (484 nucleotides) under Vitis vinifera (wine grape). RNAcentral's name for it is "long non-coding RNA (VVIN_LNC000643)". The record is from RNAcentral. Lineage: Eukaryota; Viridiplantae; Streptophyta; Magnoliopsida; Vitales; Vitaceae.
UUGAAUGGAGGAGCCAUUAGAGCCUGCUUUAAUAUCCUUUCUGGGCAACUCAAACUGGUUCUUCUCGCACCAUUGCAGAAUUAGGUUGCGAAGGGCAUAGUUUGGUGCCAGCGACAAGUGGACUAAAGUUUGUCCUGUCUUUGGGCAGGUAUGAUGAUCUGAAUCCAGCCACUUCUGUAUGCUUUCCCGUUCAUAAGUCUUUAAAAUGCCAGGAAAAACAAUGUCUGAUUGAAUUACGGUAGAUAACAUAGCUAGAAUGAUGCAAAAACUUUCAUAUAGUUCAUAUGAAAUUACCUGUCCAGUUGCAACAAUAACAGGAUCUGUCAUGAUCUCCAGCGAGAUUGGACAGAGGAACUCGUGAGGAAUCACCAAAGACGGGCACUUCUGUAGAUUUCUCGACAAAACUGGACCAUCAAGCACACUGGAUUCCUCCAUCCCAGCCAGUUUUUUGAACUUUCCCAAAAGCUCUACUAUUUGCUGACUG